UCUGAUCUUGAAUGCCCUCCA
This 21-nucleotide non-coding RNA is filed under the name Arabidopsis thaliana (thale cress). The record is from RNAcentral. Lineage: Eukaryota; Viridiplantae; Streptophyta; Magnoliopsida; Brassicales; Brassicaceae.